Molecule: ribosomal RNA, 300 nt
Filed under: uncultured Methanomassiliicoccus sp.
Lineage: Archaea; Methanobacteriati; Thermoplasmatota; Thermoplasmata; Methanomassiliicoccales; Methanomassiliicoccaceae
Description: partial 16S ribosomal RNA
Rfam family: Bacterial small subunit ribosomal RNA (bases 52-300)
Source: RNAcentral
GACGUGGACGGGGGAGGGGGGGGGGGAGGUGGUAGGGGGCGUGGGUUGGCUGGAAUUGCGGGGGGUAAAGUGCUCGGAGGUGGUUUGGUGCGUUGUUCGUGAAAUCGCACGGCUUAACUGUGAGCGGGCGGGCGAUACGGGCAGACUGGAGUACUGCAGGGGAGACUGGAAUUCCUGGUGUAGCGGUGGAAUGCGCAGAUAUCAGGAGGAACACCGGUGGCGAAGGCGGGUCUCUGGGCAGUAACUGACGCUGAGGAGCGAAAGCGUGGGGAGCGAACAGGAUUAGAUACCCGGGUAGUC